Molecule: ribosomal RNA, 463 nt
Filed under: uncultured bacterium
Lineage: Bacteria
Description: partial 16S ribosomal RNA
Rfam family: Bacterial small subunit ribosomal RNA
Source: RNAcentral
GAUGAACGCUGACAGAAUGCUUAACACAUGCAAGUCGAUGGGGAAGCGGUGCUUGCACCAUGGUAACCAUGGCGGACGGGUGAGUAACGCGUAAGGAACUUGCCUGCGGGACUGGGAUAACAGCAGGAAACUGCUGAUAAUACCGGAUAAGGUCAUUAAGCUGCAUAGCUUAGUGAUGAAAGGAGACGCCUGCGGAGAGCCUUGCGUCCUAUUAGCUAGUUGGAGGGGUAACGGCCCACCAAGGCGAAGAUAGGUAGCCGGCCUGAGAGGGUGGACGGCCACAAGGGGACUGAGAUACGGCCCUUACGCCUACGGGAGGCAGCAGUGGGGAAUAUUGGACGAUGGGGGCAACCCUGAUCCAGCAAUUCUGUGUGCACGAAGACGGUUUUCGGAUUGUAAAGUGCUUUCAGCAGGGAAGAAGGAAGUGACGGUACCUGCAGAAGAAGCGACGGCUAAAUACGUG